This 48-nucleotide non-coding RNA is filed under the name Trichobilharzia regenti. Lineage: Eukaryota; Metazoa; Platyhelminthes; Trematoda; Strigeidida; Schistosomatidae. The record is from RNAcentral.
AUCCAGAUGACGAGUCCCAAACAGGACGAAAUCCCGUGCAUCCUUGAU